This 77-nucleotide transfer RNA is filed under the name Peptococcaceae bacterium. RNAcentral's name for it is "tRNA-Asp". It matches the Rfam family "tRNA". From Rfam's summary of the family: Transfer RNA (tRNA) molecules are approximately 80 nucleotides in length. RNAcentral also lists the same sequence under 4 other names. Lineage: Bacteria; Bacillati; Bacillota; Clostridia; Eubacteriales; Peptococcaceae. The record is from RNAcentral.
GGAGCCGUAGUGUAGCGGUUUAACAUGUCGGCCUGUCACGCCGAAGAUCGCGGGUUCGAAUCCCGUCGGCUCCGCCA